CCCUUAGAUGUUCUGGGCCGCACGCGUGCUACACUGAGUGGAUCAGCGGGUCAGGUUGCGCGAAAGUGUUUCCUAAUCUUGAAAUCCGCUCGUGAUGGGGAUUGACGGUUGCAAUUUUCCGUCAUGAACGAGGAAUACCUUGUAAGCGCGGGUCAUCAGCCCGCGCUGAAUACGUCCCUGCCCUUUGUACACACCGCCCGUCGCUCCUACCGAUUGAGUGGUCCGGUGAGGCUUUGGGAUCUGAGCAAAAAGAGCGUUUCGCUCGUUUGGCUCGGAAAACUCAGUCGAACCUUAUCAUUUAGAGGAAGGAGAAGUCGUAACA
RNAcentral lists this ribosomal RNA (322 nucleotides) under uncultured eukaryote. Its description in RNAcentral is "partial 18S ribosomal RNA". It matches the Rfam family "Eukaryotic small subunit ribosomal RNA", at positions 1470 to 1796 of the family's 1831-position model. The record is from RNAcentral.